Molecule: long non-coding RNA, 4575 nt
Filed under: Gossypium barbadense (sea-island cotton)
Lineage: Eukaryota; Viridiplantae; Streptophyta; Magnoliopsida; Malvales; Malvaceae
Description: long non-coding RNA (GBAR_LNC008339)
Source: RNAcentral
AAGAAUCCACCUAGACUUUAUUUAUUAUUCUAAAUCUGAAUUAAACGAUUUAUUCAUUUGACUUGAUACAUAGAAAUCUCUAAAUUAUAUCAAUACCUCUUUUGAGAGUAAAAAUAACUGACUCUAGGUUGAUUAAUUAAAAAUCUCUUUCUAAUUAAAACCCUUAUCGUCGCAUUAAUUCAAUCUAUAAAUUCCCCUAUUAAAUUUGACUCUAAUCUGGUAGAUUUAUGUCAUCCUAUUUCUAGGAUUGCAUGCAACUCCACUUAAUUAUGCCAGAUCUACUCUUAAAUAGGGACUUUUGCUCCACCGAAUAGGCACAUCAAUCAUGAAUUAAUAUCCUGAAAACAUUAAACAUGAAGAUAAGUAAACAUAAUUGAGAUCAAGAAAAAUUCAGAAAACUCAAAUAAUAAGAUUUGUCAUAGGUUUCAUCUUUCCUAGGUAUUUAGGGAAUUUAGUUCAUACUUGGAAGAGAAAACAUCUCAAAAAUAGGAAAACAACAAAACAUAAAAAAACUCAAAAACUUCUAAGAAAUUGAAUGGAGAUCUUCAGUCUUGAAGGAGAUCCUACUUUUGAGUUGAGUCUGUCGGUGUUCUUCGAGUCUUUUCUGCAUUCUACUUUGCGUGUCCCAUUUAGGUCCUUUUCUAGUGUGUAUUUAUGGGCUUUAAAAUGCUCAGAAACCUUAAAAAUUGGGUUUUUCCGUGUAACAGGGAAGUAGGGUGCGAAAUUGACACGGACUAGCACAAGGGCAUGUGGCUAGCCCGUGUGGAAAUGCCUAGGCCGUAUGGAUCUUGAAAACAGCUCUUUUUGCCGAAUUUUGACUCAUUUUUUCUCCUUUCGCUCCCCUAUGCUCACCUAAGUAUAAAAACAUGAAUUUAAAAGAUUAGGAGCAUCAAAUUCACUAAUUCAUAUAAUAAAUCAUCCAAAAAUGUAAUCAAGAAUGAGAUUAAAAACAUGUUACUUUUAUGGCUUAUCAAAUAUCCCACACUUAAGCAUUUGCUUGCCCUCAAGCAAAAUUCUCAACUCACAAUUAAAUUAACCUUUCUUGUAACGUCCCCUAAACCUAUAUUGUUGCCAGAACAGGGUUACGAGACAUUACCAGUCAGUACAAUAUGAUAUAGACAUUAAUUUUAAAUAAAUGUUCACACUCAUCAUAAUUUUAAAAUGUCGUCCCCUUUAAUGGGCCCUCGCGGUCUAAUAUGAACAGUAAAAUCAAUUCGAGGCUAAUUUAGAAUCACUACGAAUCUAUUUUUCAGAAAUAGAGGCCUGAAAAUACACUUUUCUGAUAACUGUAAAAAUUCGGGUCAUUACAUUUCUCAACUUGUAAUUCUAUCAAUAAUGUUUUUUUAUAAUUCACAAAUAAUCACACAUUGAUAAUUUAACUAAAAGAGCUCUAAAGAUCCAAACAUCCAAGUCACUUAUUUUUUUUUUAAGACAUGAAAACAUAGGUAUCUCCCAUUAUCUAAGUAAUUACCUUUAAUUCAAAAACAACAAGAUUUUACAUCCUCACUAAAAAUUCACUCAAAUCACUCAAAGUGUUUAAGGUUCAAAAAUUAAGCACUCAAAAGUCAAUUAUGAAAAGUCAUUACCAUAGGCUUGCAUGAAAAUAUCCACCACUACAAAAUGAUAUGAUACACAAAUUAAAAGGUCUUUAAAGGGUUGUAACAGGGCUUGGGUUAAAGGUGUAGAUAAAGGCUGAAAAAGAAGGUUAGAAUUAAGAUCGAAUUGAUAAAUUACCUAACUAGAAAAAUAAACUAAUACUGAAAAAUUACAUCAAUCCAAAUUAUUAAAGAAUAACACGAGCUUCUUCUCAGAAUAUAAAAUUAACUACUUAAGCUCAAAAAUAUAGAACUAGUAAUAAUCAACAUAAAUGCAUUUUUUUCACUUUUUUUUUCAUUUUUUUGAGAACAACAGAUAAUAAGAGAAAAUUUAACAACUAAAACAAAAGAACGUAGUUAAGCAACUAACCAAAUCAAAUCUCGACAAAAAGGGAGUCAAUAAAACGGGAAACAAUUCUCAAUGAAUCAAAAAUGAGUUAUGGGUUAAUAUUAAUGGGUAAAUCAAGAAACUGUUUGUUAGGCUUAAAGGGGGUUCACUAAGGGUUAAUUAUGAAGGUAGGCUUAUGGGAUAAGUGGGUUAAAACCUAUGUGUCUUUAUGAUCUCAGUAUAUUAAAUCAAAUGUGUGGUCUCGACAUGUAUAAUCGAAGCAAGUUCUAGGAAUAACCAAUCAGUAUUAACACACUCAUAACCAAUAAUAGAGUGAGCAAGAAAAUUGUAUGCUCUAAAGGCUUAAAAUCUCACAAAAAUUAUGGUUUUUGAUGUUAAUCUUGCAAAUCUCAAACUUCAAGAUAAUACUUCAAUUUAGGGAAACAACUUAAAAUUUUUAAUUUUAAAAAUAGACUUAUCAUGCUUGAUUCUCUAGUGUCUUAAAGUUUAAACAAUCAAUGCAUAAUUACCUAUGAAUUUAAUCUAAAACACAUCAAUGGUAAUCAUAAAUCAAUAAGAAUUUAUUCUAAUAGUAAUGUGAGAAAAUUAAUUAAACACAAGACAUAAUUCGGGGAUUUUUUAAUAAUUCUCUAGGUAACCUCCCCACAGUUAAGAUGUACAUUGUCCUCAAUGUACAAACAUAUAUAAUCAUAGUAUAAACAGAAUAUCAUAAGGGAGGGAGAAAACUGAAACUGCCCUGAAUAUUGGAUGAAAUCUUCAUAAUAGUGAAAAGUGGAAUUGCAGUCAAAUCUAAAUGUAACUCAUGAUUCCAAGCAAACUAACAAGAAAAUAAACACAAAUAAUAAAGAAGAUUAAAGGGCUAUAACUCGAUUAGAAACAACCAUAAAUAUUUUAAAAGAUAAUAAUGAAAAUAAGUUGAAGAAAAUAAUAAAAAAAUAAAGCAACUAAAACAAAAUUAAAAAGAAAGAUAAAAAAAUAAAACAAAAAUAAUAAUAAUAAACUCAAUAAUACCAAUUGUAAUAAUAAUAGUAAAAAAAACUAAAAAACUAGAAAUAGCAAAAAAAAAUUAAAAUUAAUUUAAAAUAUAAGUAUAAGAAUAAUAAAUAAAAUAAAAUAAAUUAGUAAAAUAAAAUAAAAUAAAAUAAAAAUAGGGUGAUUAACCCAGUUUUCACAUGGCUAUAGACACACCCGUGUGUCCUGGCCGUGUGGGUCACACGGUUAUGUGCCAAACCAUGUGUGUUUUCAUUUACUUUUCCCACACCCAUGUGAGAUCCCACACGCCCGUGCGGCUCGACCGUGUCUCUCACACGGUCAUGUGUCUUGCCCGUGUAACCCUCUGACUUUGAAAAAAAAUUAGCUCUAGGUUUCAUGCGGCCGAGGACCCACCCGUGUCAACUUUGUUAGGCCGUGUCUCUGUCGAUUUUUUGGAAAAAUUAAGUCCCAAGGUUCACACAGCCAAGGACACGCCUGUGUGUCCAGGCCAUGUAGGUUAACGGCCGUGUCACCAGGCCGUGUAACUCUCUGUCGAUUUCAUUCAAUUUUAAAAAACUAAGUCAAUGGAGCCACACGGCCAGGGACACGCCCAUGUGUCCAAGCCGUGUGGGUUUUCAAAACACAUUUUUUAGUUAAUUAAUGAGAUAAAAUUAGUAAAUUAGUAACGUUAGCACUCGGGUUGCCUCCCGAGAAGUGCUUAUUUAAAGUCUAAGCUCAACUUACCUCGUAUUCACAAGUUCACGGUGGUUCGCGGAGUCGAGACUCCUAUUUCUCACUGCCAGUUCUAUUAUCAACAUAAGGUCUAAGUUGAGUAAUAUUUACCUUAAAAGUGCCAAAUUUAUAAUGAUUUACCUCGACUGUACCGGAUGGGAAAACAUUCAGUACCGUAAAAGAAGUCGCUCCAGUUGUAAUAAGCUCUGAAGUGGCUAUUCGGGGAUCCCUUUCAUCUAACAAUACAUGGCCCCCAAUCUUAAAUUGAUUUGCUCCAUUCUCUUGCUUGUCACGACGUAGUUUUGGCUUCACAUCGUGUAUUCUUGGUGUAAACGGGCCAAUUUGCCUAGGUCCAUGUCAAAGCUAAAAUACCAAAAUAAAUCUAAAACCCAUAAAAAUAAAAACCAAUCAAUAGUCCGGGUCCAGUUCCAAAAUCCAAUUACACGGCCCAAAUACAGUGGCCCUAACCCUAGCCCCAUUCGCUCAGCGCCGCAGCAGCCUCCAGCACUACCAUGGCUCGUGCCUCCACGUCGACACCACCAGCAGCCUCCGUAUAGAAAUUAAGAGAAAUGAAUCAAAAUAAAAAAAUUAAAAAAAAAGAGUUUUUGGGCAGAAGGUGAUUAUCCUUCUUUUGUUCUUUUUUUAUUGGAGCAGGAUUUGCUUCGUCCUUUGGUUAUUUUCUUUCUUUCAUUUCUCAUUUUAAUAUAGAAUAAAAAGGAUUGGGAUAAAGAAACACUCACCUGAAUCAAUCGGGUUGUUAGAGUUGCAUCUUCCUUUUCGAAAUCAAGCCCAACUCAUUGUUAGCCAUCUAUUACAGUGAUGGUGCGGCGAUUGGGGGUGAGUUCUGGUCGGCCAAAUGAGGGAUUAAAAAGAGGCUAGGGUUUCAAUUUCAAAAGGACCGAUUGUUUUAUUUUUUGGGAGGAAUUG